This is a long non-coding RNA of Ictalurus punctatus (channel catfish), 691 nucleotides long. Lineage: Eukaryota; Metazoa; Chordata; Actinopteri; Siluriformes; Ictaluridae. The record is from Ensembl.
AGAUGAAAAAAUGUGCACGAGAGGAUCUUCCUUCACCACAAACAGCUCCAACAGGCUGCCUGGCUCUCUUUAUAUAUAAGGAUCGAAUCGGCAUGUCUAAUCCAAAAUGGUGUAGUUUAUGUUGGCUCUGGUUUAGGCUCGUUUGAGUCUGAUGUGAUGGAACACUCCUUCUUUAUAACGUCUGCUAGUUUAGGCUCCACCUUGGUCAGUGUGGAAAUGAAGCAGAGCACCUGCGCAUAGAGAAAGAAAAAACUCUGAGGGAGGGAGGGAAGGAUGGGAUGGAUGGAAGACAGUAUGUGUAUUAAAUAACUCAUGGAUGGAUGGAUGGAUGAGUGGGAGGGUGGAUGAGUGGGUGGAUGGAUGGAUGGGAGGGUGGAUGGAUGGAUGAGUGGGUGGAUGGAUGGAUGGAUGGGUGGAUGGAUGGGUGGAUGGAUGGAUGGAUGAAUGGGUGGAUGAAAGGAUGAGUGGGAGGGUGGAUGAAUGGGUGGGUGGAUGGGAGGGCGGAUGGAUGGAUGGGUGGAUGGAUGGAUUGGAGAGUGAGUGGAUGGAUACAUGAGAGGGUGGGUGGAUGGAUAGAUGGAUGGGUGGAUGGAUGGGUGGAUGGAUGGAUGGAUGAAUGGGUGGAUGAAAGGAUGAGUGGGAGGGUGGAUGGGUGGAUGGGAGGGCAGAUGGAUGGAUGGGUGGAUGAAAG